GCCGGGAUGCUGAAAUUGGUAUACAGGCACGCUUGAGGGGCGUGUGCCGCAAGGCAUGGAGGUUCAAGUCCUCUUCCCGGCACUA
RNAcentral lists this transfer RNA (85 nucleotides) under Candidatus Microgenomates bacterium. Its description in RNAcentral is "tRNA-Leu". It matches the Rfam family "tRNA". From Rfam's summary of the family: Transfer RNA (tRNA) molecules are approximately 80 nucleotides in length. Their secondary structure includes four short double-helical elements and three loops (D, anti-codon, and T loops). Further hydrogen bonds mediate the characteristic L-shaped molecular structure. tRNAs have two regions of fundamental functional importance: the anti-codon, which is responsible for specific mRNA codon recognition, and the 3' end, to which the tRNAs corresponding amino acid is attached (by aminoacyl-tRNA synthetases). tRNAs cope with the degeneracy of the genetic code in two manners: having more than one tRNA (with a specific anti-codon) for a particular amino acid; and 'wobble' base-pairing, i.e. permitting non-standard base-pairing at the 3rd anti-codon position. The record is from RNAcentral. Lineage: Bacteria; Candidatus Microgenomatota.